GUGUCACUUCCAUCAAGUUUCCAGUGUAUCAAGGGCUUCAGACCUUGGAUAAUUGCUUUUGGAUCUAAAGGAUAAGCAUUAAAGAAAACAUGGGUAUCAUACGCUGCUAAUCCGUCGCCUCUCAUCGUUGUCCUGUGUUGGAUUCCUGGACAAGUCUUCACAUGCGAGUAUUAUACAUGUUUCUUGGCUGCAUUGAUGAUUCGCAAGUACGUCCCCUACACGAUUUCCGGCUUAAAAGUACCAUCCCCCUAACUUUACUGUGAAGUCUAAUAUUCAUGUAACCCUGAUCGUCAAAAGUGCAUCGAAAUUCGGUGUUCAAUAAAAGGUACGAAAAUAAAAUCAAA
This is a long non-coding RNA of Actinia tenebrosa (Australian red waratah sea anemone), 344 nucleotides long. RefSeq lists it as uncharacterized. The record is from RefSeq and is a predicted model, not a curated record. Lineage: Eukaryota; Metazoa; Cnidaria; Anthozoa; Actiniaria; Actiniidae.